This 139-nucleotide transfer RNA is filed under the name Actinoplanes campanulatus. RNAcentral's name for it is "tRNA-OTHER". RNAcentral also lists the same sequence under 1 other name. Lineage: Bacteria; Bacillati; Actinomycetota; Actinomycetes; Micromonosporales; Micromonosporaceae. The record is from RNAcentral.
GCGGGGGUAGCCCAACUGGCAGAGGCAGCCGGGAUGAGACUCAGAUUCUCGCUCCAAUGUCAGCAUUCACCACUGAUCGCCAGAUCGAACGAGCAGGACAGAGACACCGGAUGCCGGUUCAAUUCCGGCCCGCUCCGCU